GACGAACGCUGGCGGCGUGCCUAAUACAUGCAAGUCGAGCGGACCUUUUAAAAGCUUGCUUUUGAAAGGUCAGCGGCGGACGGGUGAGUAACACGUGGGCAACCUGCCUGUAAGACUGGGAUAACUUCGGGAAACCGGAGCUAAUACCGGAUAAUAUAAGGAACCUCCUGGUUCUUUAUUGAAAGAUGGUUUCGGCUAUCACUUACAGAUGGGCCCGCGGCGCAUUAGCUAGUUGGUGAGGUAACGGCUCACCAAGGCGACGAUGCGUAGCCGACCUGAGAGGGUGAUCGGCCACACUGGGACUGAGACACGGCCCAGACUCCUACGGGAGGCAGCAGUAGGGAAUCUUCCACAAUGGACGAAAGUCUGAUGGAGCAACGCCGCGUGAGCGAUGAAGGCCUUCGGGUCGUAAAGCUCUGUUGUUAGGGAAGAACAAGUGCGAGAGUAACUGCUCGCACCUUGACGGUACCUAACCAGAAAGCCACGGCUAACUACGUGCCAGCAGCCGCGGUAAUACGUAGGUGGCAAGCGUUGUCCGGAAUUAUUGGGCGUAAAGCGCGCGCAGGUGGUCCUUUAAGUCUGAUGUGAAAGCCCACGGCUCAACCGUGGAGGGUCAUUGGAAACUGGGGGACUUGAGUGCAGAAGAGGAAAGUGGAAUUCCAAGUGUAGCGGUGAAAUGCGUAGAGAUUUGGAGGAACACCAGUGGCGAAGGCGACUUUCUGGUCUGUAACUGACACUGAGGCGCGAAAGCGUGGGGAGCAAACAGGAUUAGAUACCCUGGUAGUCCACGCCGUAAACGAU
RNAcentral lists this ribosomal RNA (801 nucleotides) under Sutcliffiella horikoshii. RNAcentral describes it as "bacterial SSU rRNA". It matches the Rfam family "Bacterial small subunit ribosomal RNA", at positions 28 to 810 of the family's 1533-position model. Lineage: Bacteria; Bacillati; Bacillota; Bacilli; Caryophanales; Bacillaceae. The record is from RNAcentral.